This 1623-nucleotide ribosomal RNA is filed under the name metagenome. RNAcentral's name for it is "bacterial LSU rRNA". It matches the Rfam family "Bacterial large subunit ribosomal RNA", at positions 1312 to 2925 of the family's 2925-position model. The record is from RNAcentral.
AUAAAGGGAGUGAAAAGCUCCCUCGCCGAAAGCCCAAGGUUUCCUGCGCAACGUUCAUCGGCGCAGGGUGAGUCGGCCCCUAAGGCGAGGCUGAAAAGCGUAGUCGAUGGGAAACAGGUCAAUAUUCCUGUACCUCUUUGUAAUGCGAUGGGGGGACGGAGAAGGUUAGGUCAUCCGGGUGUUGGACGUCCCGGUUCAAGCGUGUAGGAAGGUCUCUUAGGCAAAUCCGGGAGAUCAAUUCUGAGGCGUGAUAACGAGUGGUCUUUGACCGCGAAGUGAUUGAUACCAUGCUUCCAAGAAAAGCCUCUAAGCUUCAGUUACAUAGAGACCGUACCGCAAACCGACACAGGUGGGCAGGAUGAGAAUUCUAAGGCGCUUGAGAGAACUCAGGAGAAGGAACUCGGCAAAUUUGCACCGUAACUUCGGGAUAAGGUGCGCCCUGAUAGGUUGAAGCCCCUCGCGGGUGUAGGCUGAAAGGGUUGCAGUGAAAUGGUGGCUGCGACUGUUUAAUAAAAACACAGCACUCUGCAAACACGAAAGUGGACGUAUAGGGUGUGACGCCUGCCCGGUGCCGGAAGGUUAAGUGAUGGGGUGCAAGCUCUUGAUCGAAGCCCCGGUAAACGGCGGCCGUAACAAUAACGGUCCUAAGGUAGCGAAAUUCCUUGUCGGGUAAGUUCCGACCUGCACGAAUGGCGUAACGAUGGCCACACUGUCUCCUCCUGAGACUCAGCGAAGUUGAAAUGAUUGUGAAGAUGCAAUCUCCCCGCGGUUAGACGGAAAGACCCCAUGAACCUUUACUGUAGCUUUGCAUUGGACUUUGAACCAACCUGUGUAGGAUAGGUGGUAGGCUGUGAAACUGGGACGCUAGUUCUGGUGGAGCCAACCUUGAAAUACCACCCUGGUUUGUUUCAGGUUCUAACCAUGGCCCGUGAAUCCGGGUCUGGGACCGUGCAUGGUAGGCAGUUUGACUGGGGCGGUCUCCUCCUAAAGUGUAACGGAGGAGUACGAAGGUACGCUAGGUACGGUCGGACAUCGUGCUCAUAGUGCAAUGGCAAAAGCGUGCUUGACUGCGAGACUCACACGUCGAGCAGGUACGAAAGUAGGUCAUAGUGAUCCGGUGGUUCUGUAUGGAAGGGCCAUCGCUCAACGGAUAAAAGGUACUCUGGGGAUAACAGGCUAAUACCGCCCAAGAGUUCAUAUCGACGGCGGUGUUUGGCACCUCGAUGUCGGCUCAUCACAUCCUGGGGCUGUAGUCGGUCCCAAGGGUAUGGCUGUUCGCCAUUUAAAGUGGUACGUGAGCUGGGUUUAAAACGUCGUGAGACAGUUUGGUCCCUAUCUGCCGUGGGCGCUGGAAAUUUGAAGGGGGCUGCUCCUAGUACGAGAGGACCGGAGUGGACGAACCUCUGGUGUACCGGUUAUGACGCCAGUCGUAUUGCCGGGUAGCUAAGUUCGGAAGAGAUAAACGCUGAAAGCAUCUAAGCGUGAAACUCGCCUUGAGAUAGGAUUUCCCUGGGGACUUGAUCCCCCUGAAGGGUCGUGGUAGACCACCACGUUGAUAGGCUGGGUGUGGAAGCGCAGCAAUGCGUUAAGCUAACCAGUACUAAUUGCCCGUGAGGCUUGAUU